Ascaris lumbricoides (common roundworm) is the source of this 86-nucleotide non-coding RNA. The record is from Rfam. NCBI's taxonomy places the organism in Eukaryota, Metazoa, Nematoda, Chromadorea, Rhabditida, Ascarididae.
GCCCGGGUGAUCCUCGGUGGUCCGGGGUGCAGGCUUCAAACCUGCGGCCGUUUAGCGACGGAGUGGUUCGAUUCCACCUCCUGGGU